Molecule: ribosomal RNA, 501 nt
Filed under: uncultured bacterium
Lineage: Bacteria
Description: partial 16S ribosomal RNA
Rfam family: Bacterial small subunit ribosomal RNA
Source: RNAcentral
UGGGGAAUAUUGCACAAUGGGCGCAAGCCUGAUGCAGCAACGCCGCGUGAGGGAUGACGGCCUUCGGGUUGUAAACCUCUUUUAGCAGGGAAGAAGCGAAAGUGACGGUACCUGCAGAAAAAGCGCCGGCUAACUACGUGCCAGCAGCCGCGGUAAUACGUAGGGCGCAAGCGUUAUCCGGAAUUAUUGGGCGUAAAGAGCUCGUAGGCGGUUUGUCGCGUCUGCUGUGAAAUCCCGAGGCUCAACCUCGGGUCUGCAGUGGGUACGGGCAGACUAGAGUGCGGUAGGGGAGAUUGGAAUUCCUGGUGUAGCGGUGGAAUGCGCAGAUAUCAGGAGGAACACCGAUGGCGAAGGCAGAUCUCUGGGCCGUAACUGACGCUGAGGAGCGAAAGGGUGGGGAGCAAACAGGCUUAGAUACCCUGGUAGUCCACCCCGUAAACGUUGGGAACUAGUUGUGGGGUCCAUUCCACGGAUUCCGUGACGCAGCUAAUGCAUUAAGUU